CCUACGGGUGGCAGCAGUGAGGAAUAUUGGUCAAUGGGCGCUAGCCUGAACCAGCCAAGUAGCGUGAAGGAUGACUGCCCUACGGGUUGUAACCUUCUUUUAUAUAGGAAUAAAGUGCAGCAUGUAUACCUUUUUGUAUGUACUUUAUGAAUAAGGAUCGGCUAACUCCGUGCCAGCAGCCGCGGUAAUACGGAGGAUCCGAGCGUUAUCCGGAUUUAUUGGGUUUAAAGGGAGCGUAGAUGGGUUGUUAAGUCAGUUGUGAAAGUUUGCGGCUCAACCGUAAAAUUGCAGUUGAUACUGGCAGUCUUGAGUACAGUUGAGGUAGGCGGAAUUCGUGGUGUAGCGGUGAAAUGCUUAGAUAUCACGAAGAACUCCGAUUGCGAAGGCAGCUUACUAAACUGCAACUGACACUGAUGCUCGAAAGUGUGGGUAUCAAACAGGAUUAGAUACCCGAGUAGUC
Molecule: ribosomal RNA, 460 nt
Filed under: uncultured bacterium
Lineage: Bacteria
Description: partial 16S ribosomal RNA
Rfam family: Bacterial small subunit ribosomal RNA
Source: RNAcentral